AUUGAACGCUGGCGGCAUGCCUUACACAUGCAAGUCGAACGGCAGCACGGGUGCUUGCACCUGGUGGCGAGUGGCGAACGGGUGAGUAAUACAUCGGAACGUACCUUAUCGUGGGGGAUAACGCAGCGAAAGUUGCGCUAAUACCGCAUACGACCUGAGGGGGAACGCGGGGGAACGUAAGGCCUCGCGCGUUUAGAGAGGCCGGUGUCUGAUUAGCUUGUUGGUGAGGUAAAAGAUCACCAGGGCGAUGAGCAGUAGCUGGUCUGAGAGGACGGUCAGCCACACUGGGACUGGGACACGGAGCAGACGCCUACGGGAGGCAGCAGUGGGGAAUUGUGGACAAUGGGGGCAACCCUGGUCCAGCAAUGCCGCGUGAGUGAAGAAGGCCUUCGGGUUGUAAAGCUCUUUUGUCAGGGAAGAAACAGCAGCUCUAACACAGUCUGCGAAUGACGGUACCUGAAGAAUAAGCACCGGCUAACUACGUGCCAGCCGCCGCAGUAA
This 501-nucleotide ribosomal RNA is filed under the name uncultured bacterium. RNAcentral describes it as "partial 16S ribosomal RNA". It matches the Rfam family "Bacterial small subunit ribosomal RNA", at positions 29 to 523 of the family's 1533-position model. The record is from RNAcentral.